UGGAAUUCCACCUUGUUGCUACAUCAGUUAUAACCUUUUGUGAGCUAAAAAUGUUUGCAUCUUUCACGCACACUUUAAACAAUGUCAAUCUUGCUGGAUAUGCCUUAACAUGCUUACAAGCAGCCCUUAUAUGAGAAAUGGAUGAAUCUAUAAGAUAUAAUCCAUCAGACACAAUCAAAUUCAAAAUAUGUGCACAGCAGCGUAAAUACAUACACUCACCUUUAAGCAAGGUAUUUCCAUUUCAGGCACUCAUAUUUCUAAUCAAAUAAGAUAAAGCAACAUUGUUAGAGCUAACAUUAUCUACUGUAACUGUGCAAAAUUUAGUAAGUCCCCAAUCUUUCAAGCAUUUUUCUAAGGUUUUA
Molecule: long non-coding RNA, 362 nt
Filed under: Trifolium pratense (red clover)
Lineage: Eukaryota; Viridiplantae; Streptophyta; Magnoliopsida; Fabales; Fabaceae
Description: long non-coding RNA (TPRA_LNC001886)
Source: RNAcentral